This 87-nucleotide non-coding RNA is filed under the name unclassified sequences. The record is from RNAcentral.
UGUAAUCUGCCACCGGGUAGAGAGUUGCUUAUGCACUCGUUUACACAUCAUUAGGUCUUUGAAGAUGUGUGCGGGUGUUUUUUUUAU